Molecule: long non-coding RNA, 8659 nt
Organism: Dromaius novaehollandiae (emu)
Lineage: Eukaryota; Metazoa; Chordata; Aves; Casuariiformes; Dromaiidae
Exons: 4
Source: RefSeq, a predicted model, not a curated record
AGCUGCGGUAUGCUGAAGCGUAAGGCUGAACACACAGAGAACUAGGGUACUAGAUGUGCCUGGCCCCUUUAGCACUCAGACUAUACGGCAAAGAGGAAGGAAGGACCACAAAACUUGGAUUUUCUUCUUACCCAUCUUGUCACUCGACACUAAUCAUCCUGGUAUAUUCUGUUUUAGCUGUGAAACUACUUUACUUAUUUUCUUUUGCACAAGGGCAAGCAUUAAGAAAAGCCAAAUGACACAGCAGUUUCUGACUGCUGGAGGCUAGAAUGCAAACAACUUUGCAGACAUCCUAAUAAGAAUAGGAAACUAGCAGUGUUUCUUUUUCCUUUGUGUUUUAAAAAUAGCUUUAACUUAAUCACUCUUGAGGACAGACUACCUCAGGGAAUUGCUAUGAAUAUAUGGAAGCCUGUCAACUCAGCUGCAUUGGUUUGAAACUCACUAUUAUCAACAAUGACUAAGUGCCAGACUGGAAAUGCAUCGGUUUGCUCAGCCCAUAUCGAAGGAUGUAUGCCCCUUUUGUAAGAGCUAUUGCUGAUUUUCACCUUUCGGCACUCUGAGUGAAGAAGAAGUGUCUCAUCUCUGAAGGGGGACUUGACUUUACCUGGAAAGAGGGAUCCCUGCUGGCCGAGGAGAAGCUGGGGACUGUGUUCAAAAGAUCCUCUGUGCACAAGGCUUUGGCUUAAGCCUCAGCAACAAUCUCCAGCUCCACAGGCUGGGAAAUCUGGGACAGAAGAUGAAGGUGAGUAACAAGGCAGCACCUUCGGCAACUUACUGAGAAGGGCAGGUAGUUACUGGGAGCAGAAGAUGUGGGGUAUGUGGGCACCUGACUAACUUGUUAUGUAUACAUUGUCUUAAGAGACUCCAUGCAAGAAAAGUACUAAAGAUAUUGCUAAGAAGGGCAAUAGCUUGAGGAGGAGUAAAAGAAAAAGUAAGUUAGAAAUAUAUCUACCAAACAAUAAGACAAGAAGAAAGGCUACUGGAGAAGAAAGAAGACCUAUGGGAAUAUGUAACAAUAAAGGUAAAGCAGAAGAAGAGACUGGCUGGUAGAGGAGAAACAUAACUGAAACACAGAAGGUCUCUGAACUGUGAGGAAGGACAUAUGAAGACUAUGCUGAGGAGGUAUCACUAUGGACUUGUCCUUCACUUAUACUAUUUAUUAAACAUCUGCUGCUGACCACGGAGGCAAGACACAGGGCCAAAGGCACCUCUGCUUUGACUCAGUACAGCUAUUCUUACCUUUUUUCAUUUCACAGGAAAACAACAGUGAGCCUUCCAAAAGGCAGGAAAAGACAAUGGAGCACUAGAAGGCAGGCACUAGAAGAAACAAGAAGUAGAUACAAAGAAGGCUAUGACAUAAUGAUCCCUGGAACAAGGAAGGACAGCAGGGAAAGAAACUGAGACUCAUAGCAGCACAAAGAAGAGAAAGAGGUCUACAAUGACUCCCAUUAAAAGCAAUGAAUUCUUAAGGAGAAUGAAUAUGAUUAUUAAUAGAGCAGAACCAAAGAAAGAAAGGGCAAGUGUGUGUCUACCAUUAGCACGAGUCUCAAGAUAAAAAAUAAUUAUGAUGAGAUCAUGGAAGAAUCCAUGUUUUAGGCUGAAUGUUGAGCGAAUUAUACUGCCUGGCUCCCACUGGAAUGAACUGAGAUCAACUACACCAGGGCUAGGGAAAGAGUUCAAAAAAGUAAAGAGUAAAAUGUUAUUAGCCAAAAUUCCCUCUGGACCAGCCUGUAUCAAAGGAAAGAUAAGCUCAGUGCCUGUACAUUGAACUGUCCUGGUCCACACCCCGAAAUUUUUAUUGUAUGUGACAGUUCAUCUGAAGACAUGUGGAUAUCUCCAAUACAAAGUAAACAGGAGCUAGUAAAGGAUAAAAAAUAUCCACAAAUGGAUAAGCAGAGUGAUCAUUGCAAAUAGUGACAAAAUAACCAGGUGUAUAAAUGGUGAGAGCAUUAUACCUAAUCUGUUUAGAGAAUCCCUGGGAGACAGGCUUGGACAGGAGAGGGGUCUAGGAAAGCUGGUUGAUUUUCAAGGACCAUCUCUGCCAAGUUCAAGAAUGGUCCAACACAACAUGCAGGAAGUCAAGCAAAGGUGGCAGGAGGCCUGCAUGGAUAAACAAGGAGCUCCUGACAAAACUCAAACAUAAAAAGGAAAUGUACAAGAGAUGGAAGCAGUGACAGGCUACCCAGGAAGAAUAUCGAGACACUGUCUUAAGGUGCAGGGAUGGCAUUAGGAAAGUCAAAGUCCACCCGGAGCUGAUACUGGUGAGGGAUGUGAAGGGCAAAAAGAAGGGCUUCCACAAGUAUAUUAGCAGCAAAAUCAAGACUAGGGAAAAUGUGGGCCUGCUGCUGAAUGGAGCAGGGGACCUGGCAACAAAGGACUUGGAAAAGGCUGAGGUAUGCCUUCUCAGUGCCUUCUUAAUGUUGGUCUUUACCAGUAAGAAUUGCCUUUAGGAAUCCCAGGUCCCUGAGAUCAAUGGGAAACUCUGGAGCAGUGAAGAUUUACCUGCAGAGGAGGAGGUUGUGUUAGGAAACACUUAAAUUAAUUAGAGACCUCCAAGUUCUUAGGACCUGAUGGGAUGCACCCACGAGUGCUGAGGGAGCUGGCAGAUGUUACUGCAAGGCCACUCAUGCUCAUCUUUGAAAGGUCAUGGUGAUGACUGGACAAAAGCAAAUAAUGAUGUUCAAGAAGGGCAAGAAGGAUUCAGACAACUACAGACCAGUCAGCCUCACCUCAAUCUGUGGGAAGGUGACGAAGCAAAUCCUCCUGGAAGCCACUUCCAAACAUAUUAAAGACAAGACGUGACUGGGAGUAGUCAGCAUGUAUUUAUGAAAGGGAAAUCAUACCUGAUGCACAUGAUAGCCUUCUACAACGAGAUGACCAGCUUGGUGGAUGAGGGGACAACAGUGGAGAUUGUUUAUCUUGACUUCAGUAAGGCUUUUGACCCUCUUUCCCAUAACAUUCUCCUAGGCAAGCAGAUGAAGUAUGGGCUAGAUAAGUGGACAGUGAGGCAGACUGAAAACUGGCUGGACUGCUGGGCUCCGAUGGUUGUGAUGAGUGGCAAGAAGUCUAGCUGGAGGCCUCAGCAGUGGGGUACCCUGGUGGUAGGUAAUGGGGCCAAUACCAUUUAACAACCUCAUUAAUGACCUGAAUGAUGGGACUGAAUGCACCCUCAGCAAGUUUGUAGAUGAUACAAAACUGGGAGGAAUGGCAGAUACACCAGAGGACUGUGCUGCCAUUCAGAAGGACCUUGAUAGGCUGGAGAAAAGGGCAGAGACGAACCUCAUGAAGUUCAAUAAAGGGAAGUACAUAAUCCUGCAACGGGGGAGGGAUAACCCCAUGCACUGGGGUUCAUUCACAAUGAAUGAACCAGAAUUUCUUGUUUAUGAAAUGAGAGUGAGUACUACAGGAUAACAGAAAUAUAGUACAUAGUACAUAGUAGUUCUAACUGAAACACAGGGGUUGAAAACUACGUGCUGUUCAAAGAAGACAGAAGUGAAAGCAAAGGUAAGCUGGUUAAAUGUAUGACAUUGUAAAGACAUAAGAAAUGACAAAGAUAAAAAAUCAACUAUUUGGAUUAAAAUCACUUGGAGAAAAUAGUGCAAGAAGUCUUAAAUGGGACAGGGUUGGUAGUUUGUUAGAGCUACUUUUAUGUGUUAAUAAAAAUCUCAUUCAUAUAAUUAGAAAAAGGAAUAUUGCCUAUUUUGGUGGGACCCAGUCCACAUAAAUUACACCUUAAAUAUUUGAAGCCUAAUAAAUGAAUGAUUCUACAAUGAGUGCUUGGGGUUUCUGUAUUGUCAGUGAGAGAGAAUGUGUUGCCUUUGAAGAUCUUCAAAAAGAGAUCCUGUCUAAGUCUAGGUGAAAGUUAUGUAUUUAACUUAGGUGAACUGGAUUCAACCCUCUAUUAUAAUGGGUAACACUGACUUCACAAAGAUAGAUUAGUCAUAGGUUGUUAGUAACAGCAGAAUUCAGGUAUGCCUGAGGGUGAUAACUGGCAUGCUUUUCACAGUAAAAGACACAAAACACUCCAUGAACCAGCAAGAUGUAAUGUGACCUCAGACUUGGUUCUGGUCGAGGUACAAUAUUGAUAAACUAGAGGAACAAGCCAAUGAAGUUACAUGGACUGUUGAGCUCUUGAACUGAAAUAUGAAGGAAACCUGGAAUUUCUUUAAGAGGGGCAAAAUCUAUCUGGAAUUUAUAUUCAAGUGAAUGGAAAUAGCUUGUAGGAAAGAUAUCCUAAAGUAAUUGGAUGAUUAACCACAGAAAAGGAUAUUAAUGACAGAACCAGAGAAUCUACUAGGAGUGGAAAUCCAGAUUGAUCAGCAGAAAAAGUUUUGUCCUGGAGAUUAGAAUGUGCAGGCACUAAGUGAGAAACUGCAAAAAAUGAAGAUGAAGUAAGCCUUGCAGCUAUGAAAAAGACACUAAUGAUUUCUGGCUGCUUUGGGUACAGUCAUUCCUAUAGGAAAAGUGAAAAAAAAUGGCAAGGCACAGGCAUAACCCUAGCUGGGGUGCUGAAUAGAAGACUGCCAUCCGCACUCAUGAAGGAAAAAUUCAAAUCGGAUGAACUGCAGGGCUGCUGACGAGCUGAAUACCUGAUGAACUGUGACGACAGCCUUGGGAACAGGUGAAGACAUUGCAGGAGAAGGCUGUGAAGGUGGGAUCUACACCUAGACAUCUAAACUACCUGUCUAAAUGAAAGGAGACAUGUAGGCUCUCUGGCAUGCUAUGGAGAAAGACAGGCAGCUGUAGAAGGCUAUCCAUCUGCACCCACUGCUGCCUUGGGCCCUUGGUAAAUAACAAUGGGCUUGUGGCCACACGGGAACACAGUGUAUCCUGGGUGAGCUAGCUGACUUCCCUGCCUGUGCUGGUGCUUGCAAGUUCACUGCUUGCACAGACGGCAAAUCUCCUCCUGGGAUUAUCAGCGGGAUGCAAUGCAGAUUUAGGCACUAUGCUCUCUGAGGAAAGAAAAGGAGUCUAGAGUCUAGAAUGGCAGAAGCCAGUUGUAUUCUUGAAUGGAAAAAUAGAAAAUAGAAAAAUCUUCAGGCUGAUCAAGACCCUAGCAAGAGGAAGACAUCAUCUCUAAUCCUCUCUAUAUACAGGUCAUUAACUUCACUGAGAUGGUAGAGGCACAACAGGAUUAGAUUCUGUAUCUUUUUUCUAACAUUGUUUAUUCAAAUUCCUAACUCUGUAAAACCAUUUCAGUUUUACAAAGAAAAAUGGGCCAUGUCACUGGUUUAUGUGUCUUCACUGUGUUUUUAAACCUAAUCUUUUUACACAAAUAUUUUCUUUUAAGCAUAUCAAAUCCAAGUGGUCAAGAUUUCUGUGGACCAUACAAUAUAAACAAAUACAUUUGUUGUUGAAAAUUUCCUUCCAGAUUAGAGUUUGAUUAAAAAUGCUAACAUCUCUUUUGAGAUAGUUUUCUAGUAAUAACAAACAGAAACAUGUCAUGAGGUGUUUUUGUCAGUCCUUCUACAGCAGUCUUGACAUCCAGAAAGAAUUAACAUAAAUUAAGUGGACUUUUGUUACAGAAAUAAGAAAUAGGUCUUUAAUUUACUCUACUUAAACAGAUUCCUCUUUCUUUUCUCUCCCCCCCCCCCCCAUAGGAUCAUUGUAUUAUACAAGUAUCUCAUAUUUAUCAUUUUAAUAAGCACAACAUGCAAAACCACAAAGACAAAGGAAAUACAUCAGUACUGGACAAUUAGAAGCCAAAUGUAAAGACUGAAGAACUGUUAAUUCUUUUGGAUUUUGCUGUCCUUGUCUGUGUCUCUCCUCCUUCCACACAAAUCAAGAAAUCACCAGAGUCUUAGCUCUGGUUCCAUUGCCACUGAACUCUGUGAAAUCAGAGUUUUAUCUGGAGGCUUUGUCCUCAGUACUUACUCCAAUGACUGUGAUGCAUAUGUAAAAAUAUAUUUCCAAAAGGCAGGAACACAUACUCGACAAGAAAAAGACAACAGUAGAGAUUACUACAUAGUCAGGAACUAUCUGUUCAUUCACAUUCUCUGAAAUCUCCUGAUAUAAGGCCUCACAGUUCACUUAGACAGCUAUGGCUCUAAUACAGUAUCUGGGAUAUCAAAUUAGAGAAAAAUUCAAACAUAUAGGGUUUGCUGAGGUUUAUAUAUAUUAGCUAAAAUGCUUGUAUUUUUGAAUAAAACCAAAGAGGUUAAAAGAGUUAGGAGUUUAUAUAAAUUUUAUCUGAAGCUCUCAGUGAGUAUGUAGGUUUUUUUCCUUAUUAGUCCAUUCAAAAAUAUAUACCUCUCUCUGUAUCUCUAUAUACCUAUAUAUCUAUAUAUAAAAAACACAUGACCUUCCCAUGAAUGGAGGACUUGAAAUAACAGAAUUCAUACAGCCCUUCUGACUUGCUUUGGUUAGUUGAAUAUUUCUAAUUUCUUUGUGUGUUACAGUUGGUUUCACCUUUUUGGUUUUUGCACAUUACCUCAAGCGUAACUCUAAAAAUAUUCCUCUAGACACUUCUGCUGUACAGUGGGUCUGGAAGGAGAGAUUCGGCUACUUGCCUCCCUGAAUCAGAUUUUCCUUAAUCAAAUUUUCCUGCAGAAAAGCCAGAAGCAACUGCAGAAUACAAUUAAAUAACUAAAAAUGAGAAAUGCAGAAACACUAGAUUUCUUUUGAAAUGUCUCUUGCAGUCUUUUGGAUUGUGUUGUGCAGUGCUUACAGCCUCUGCAAGUAGAAAACUACACUGGGGUGCAACAGAUUACCAUCCCAAAGACAAAUAAUCUCUAUUGUACCUGCUGCUUUGGGCAACUCUUUAUGUUAUUAAUUUAUACUGUAUUCCGCUUUAUAAUAGCUAAGCCCAACAGAGACAUUUAAACUGGCAAGCUGUUGUAUCCGUUGACCCAGUUCCUACCUUAGUGCACCCAAUCUUUCACCCCUGAGUAGGAAAAGAACAUAUGGCUACUGACCCAAAUAAAGAAAACUACAGAGGGAAUAGAGUAUGUCCGGUGUGGAUUUCCUGGGCAAGCAGGAGAGGCAAAAAGAUGUUUUUUCUCAAUGUCCACAUGAGCUGAUGUGGCACAAGAAUCUGAAUGACAUGGUGGCAGCUGAGCAGUCUGUCUCUCUCUUGCCCUCAUCUCUAUUCAGAUGAGCAUGCCCUUUGGUAUUCCUCCUGCUCCGGACGUAUGAUUAACCUUCCUUUCUGGGAAGAACCCCACAACAGGAGAAACACAGCCAGGAAAGUCCUUCAUACUCCAGCACUAGACCAAAAGACUACUUUCAGAGAAAAUGCCUAUUUUGAUCUCUGAGAAGAUGGAGUCCAAGAUUAGUUCAGUGUUUUACAGAGGACACCCAGAAGGCGAAGGAGAUUUAGAAUGGGAAAUUCACAGAAAAUGUCACUUGAGAAAAUUCUCAAAUGUUUUGAAUUUUCCAGUUAAACUGAUUUUAAUUUAUAAAUAACACCGUGCAAUUCAAAAUGCUUUCACUAAUUUGAAAAAAAAUCGGUAACUGUAGUGAAGCCAAAUUUUCAUUUUUGUACAUAAAGAUGUUUGUAUGAAAAGUGCUGUUUAUUCAGAGUUGCUGAAGUAUGUGCAGGACUCUUACAUGCUAACUUUUUAAAAAUGGUAACAUUGAUAUAUGAGCUAUUUACUCAGCUCAGUUAUAUUGAGAAGACAAAUAAGUCCACAGCACUCAAUAUGUAUCAAUAGCAGUGCAGGGUACAGGAAAGAGGCCCAGCAUCUCAAUUUUUACUGUCUCUGAAGGUUUUGUGAUUUGUCCAAAGCCAAAAAUCAAAACUGAACUAAAGAAAUGCAGUUCAGACUGAUAAAAAAUAGAAUGAUUGUUCUGACUAAAUUUCUGAGUAGUCUAAACUGUUUUUUUAAAACUAUAUAGCUUUUCAACUUCUUUUUUCAGCUGACUUACUUAAUCUCCUAGUAAUUCAAGAUUCUGUUAGUCUAAUCUCUUUAAUAGGCAUAUUUAUCACCAAAUGUCAAAUGCAUUUAGUAUCUUUCCUGUUGCUCAAGGCACCAUUGAUCACAGAUACUGCAAUGGCAUUUAAUAUUGGCUUUUGUACAGAGGACUGUUCCAAACAACAGAACGUUGAGUCUUGUCUACCAGCACAAUCAUCUGUGCAUCUAAUCCAUAUUAUAAGUAGAGGAUGUGAAUAAAGGACUAACCAAAAAUAGUUUUUAUGUUCAAAUCUCCUAUGACAGCAGGAGUUUUUAACAGCUGUUUGUAAGAACAUUUCUGCAUGGGGGAAAAGCACAGCAAUACAUAGUUGUGUAUCAGGCAAUUUGUCAAUUAUAUGUCAGCUUUACAACAGCAAGUAUUUAAAAGACUAAUGAUAUAGCAUCCAUAUUUACAAAUCUCUUUUACUGUUUCUUUAUUUUGGCACUGAAAGAUUUUCAAGUAAUUCUUGUACAUGCAAGUUUGUAAUUUAUAUGCCUUUCUGCUUUGAUUAUCCUGCUAUAACUCAUAGCUCAUGUCAUACUGUUUUGAUGAGUAAGUAUGAAAUUCUAAACUUCUGUGUUCUGGAAUAUUUAAAAUUUGCGCUCCUUCUGGCUGACCUUGCCUAUAGGACUUCGACAAUGUUAAAUACCCUGCAACUCCACUGCAAAGCUGGCCAGUUCACAUCAGAGUUGAGUCUGACUUUAUUGUUGUUGGGUGCUAGAGGGAAAGAAAGCUACUUUAUAAUAAAAACUGAUGCCUUUCUUUA